Molecule: long non-coding RNA, 1425 nt
Organism: Helianthus annuus (common sunflower)
Lineage: Eukaryota; Viridiplantae; Streptophyta; Magnoliopsida; Asterales; Asteraceae
Exons: 7
Source: RefSeq, a predicted model, not a curated record
CACGCAUCAGUUCAAAUAACCUGCAUAAAAACUCACCGCCACCGCAAAUGAAAUCUGAGAGAGAAGUGAAGGCGGUAAAACGGCGAUAGAGAGAGAGGGGGCGUGAAAAAUCAUCGUCACCGGUCAAGCUCUGUCGCUGAACCUACAGAUCCCGUUUUCUCAUCCCACCGACUUCUUCUCCGGCCACUCAAUCCGCCUCUUUCACCGUCAUUGGAGGUCUGGGGCUGAGGGUCUGUGAGUUAACUGGGGAGACAGCAACUGAUUUGAAAUUACUUGAAAAGGGACAGGUGAUAAUCAGCACUCCUGACAAGUAGGAUGCAUUAUCGCGUCGCUGGAAACAACGGAAACAUGUUCAACAAGUCAGUCUUUUUAUUGUUGACGAGUUGCAUUUGAUUGGAGGGCAAAACGGUCCGGUUUUGGAGGUUAUAGUGUCCAGGAUGAGCUUAAAUCGCGGUUGAUUUUAUGCCUCACAAUGAGGCUGAUCAAGUAGAUUACAUGGCAGAAUAAGGGUGCAUGUCGGAUUUUGUAGAGAAUGUGGAAGAGGAAGAAAACGGCGGUGGAGAUAGAUCCUCUUCCUGCCAUCGCCAUUCAUGCCCCCCACCAUUCAUACCCAAAUCUCCAAUUCGCAGAGUGGUUGCGCAGUGAUGGAGGUUGAUGUGACGACGGUUGUUUUGUGGUGGUGGUUGUGCGACAAUGAUAGAGCAGACAAAGGUGAUGGAUACGUUCUCUGAUCAAGCGAGAAGUGGGAAGGAUAUUUAAGUCAUUACAUGGGGCAAAUUUAAUAUGGUGAUGAUAGAUGUUAGCUGAUGGGAAUUGGUGGGAUUUUGAGAGGAUUGAGAUCACUAGACAACCCGAUUGUAUGUUUGUCCAUGGCUUCAUGAACUCUAGCGAGGUUUAAGAUCCCUCGACAGUUGUACAUCUUGGUAAUCCAUAGUAAUCGUCGGACAUUUACUUCACGCUUGUACAUGGUUUGAGCUAUGUGAUACACUGUAGUAUUACAUCCUGGAUAAGGCAUCCCUGAGCUAUCUCAUGAAGCAUCAAGCAUUUACUUCUGGUGCUUAACACAAAACCCUGAAUAUUGCAAGCAAUGGUUGUGCAAAUGGGUUUUCUAGCAGCUUUUAAGAGAUACAAACCCUCAAAAGGAGCUACGGAUGCUCAAGAUCCACCCAAAAGCAUUUAACUUUCUACAGAUCAAGUUAAAUUGUCAUAUGACUGGAUUACGAAUAGAGCCAAAGGUUUUGAUAUAACAUAGUGCAGCAACUGGAGACAUUUCAACAUUAAUGUUUAGGCGACCUAUGUUUUUUCUGUUUGGUCAUGUAUUUUAUUUUUUUCUGUAGCUUGUAUCACUAUCAUGCCGAUGUAGUAUCUUGCUAUGUCGGUGGUUUCACUUUGUUGAUAAUAAUAGUCUCCGUUGCCUUUAAAAAA